GACGAACGCUGGCGGCGGGCUUAACACAUGCAAGUCGAACGGAAAGGCCCUUCUUUGGUGGGGUGCUCGGGUGGCGAACGGGUGCGUAACACGUGAGUAACCUGCCCUUGACUUUGGUAUAACUUCAGGAAACUGGGGCUAAUACCGGAUAGCAGCUUCUGCUUCGUGGUGGGGGUUGGAAAGUUUGGGCGGUUGGGGAUGUGCUCGCGGCUGAUCAGCUUGUUUGUGGGGUAGUGGCUUACCAGGGCUUCGACGGGUAGCCGGCCUGAGAGGGUUACCGGGCACAUUGGGACUGAGCUACGGCCCAGACUACUACGGGAGGCAGCAGUGGGGAAUAUUGCACAAUGGGCGGAAGCCUGAUGCAGCAACGCCGCGUGCGGGAUGACGGACUUCGGGUUGAAAACCGCUUUCGCCUGUGACGAAGCGUGAGUGGAGGUAAUGGGUAAAGAAGCACCGGCUAACUACGUG
Molecule: ribosomal RNA, 468 nt
Filed under: uncultured bacterium
Lineage: Bacteria
Description: partial 16S ribosomal RNA
Rfam family: Bacterial small subunit ribosomal RNA
Source: RNAcentral